This 253-nucleotide ribosomal RNA is filed under the name uncultured bacterium. RNAcentral describes it as "partial 16S ribosomal RNA". It matches the Rfam family "Bacterial small subunit ribosomal RNA", at positions 524 to 776 of the family's 1533-position model. The record is from RNAcentral.
UACAGAGGUCUCGAGCGUUAGGCGGAAUCACUGGGCUUAAAGCGUGUGUAGGUGGAUCGUUAAGUACCUUGUGAAAUCCCACGGCUCAACCGUGGAACUGCUUGGUAUACUGGCGGUCUUGAGCCAGCUAGGGGCUACCGGAACAAAUGGUGGAGCGGUGAAAUGCGUAGAUAUCUGGAGGAACACCGGUGGCGAAGGCGGCAUCCUGGACCGGCAUUGACGCUGAUGAGCGAAAGCCAGGGGAGCAAACGGG